AAUGAUGAUACUACCUUACUAUAAGUGUUGUCCAAAUCUGGUGCCAGAAGACUCGGUAAGGCCAGAGACGCGAACGUUAGUCAUCUUAAACAGGCGUAAAGGGUUAGUAGGCUACUUUAAAAUCCUCAUAUUACAAAANAGCAAAGUAAUAUUGUGGAAAGUAGAAGAUAGAAUCUAGAAUAGGAAAAAAGAAAAUCGAGAUUAGGGUUAGAAUCUGCAGUAACCUCGAUAGAAUACUAAAGGCGAAGGCCUUUUUCCAAUAAAGAUUGACGCUGAGGAACGAAGGAUGGAUAAGAAUCAGGAUUAGAUACCCUGGUACCCCUUUCUGUCAACGAUGAAUGGUAGUCACUAAAAAAUAAUUAGUGUCAAUGUUAACACGUUAACCAUUCCGCCUUGUGAGUACGAUUG
This 408-nucleotide ribosomal RNA is filed under the name Byssomerulius corium. Its description in RNAcentral is "SSU rRNA". It matches the Rfam family "Bacterial small subunit ribosomal RNA", at positions 465 to 888 of the family's 1533-position model. Lineage: Eukaryota; Fungi; Basidiomycota; Agaricomycetes; Polyporales; Irpicaceae. The record is from RNAcentral.